UACGUAGGGUGCAAGCGUUAAUCGGAAUUACUGGGCGUAAAGCGUGCGCAGGCGGCUUGCUAAGACAGGUGUGAAAGCCCCGAGCUUAACUUGGGAAUGGCGCUUGUGACUGGCAGGCUGGAGUGUGGCAGAGGGAGGUGGAAUUCCACGUGUAGCAGUGAAAUGCGUAGAGAUGUGGAGGAACACCGAUGGCGAAGGCAGCCUCCUGGGCCAACACUGACGCUCAUGCACGAAAGCGUGGGGAGCAAACAGG
This 253-nucleotide ribosomal RNA is filed under the name uncultured bacterium. Its description in RNAcentral is "partial 16S ribosomal RNA". It matches the Rfam family "Bacterial small subunit ribosomal RNA", at positions 524 to 776 of the family's 1533-position model. The record is from RNAcentral.